CCCAGUNACAUUANUUUAACGGCCGCGGUAUCCUGACCGUGCAAAGGUAGCAUAAUCAUUUGUUCCUUAAUUAGGGACUUGUAUGAAUGGCCCCACGAGGGUUUGACUGUCUCUUACUUUUAAUCAGUGAAAUUGACCUUCCCGUGAAGAGGCGGGAAUACAUAAAUAAGACGAGAAGACCCUAUGGAGCUUAAAUUAAUUUGUUCAAUCAAAAUUCAAUUUUAUCCAACAGGAAUAAUAACAUUUUAACUGAACAACAAAUUUUGGUUGGGGUGACCUCGGAGUACAAAAGAACCUCCGAGCGAUUUAACUAAGACAUACUAGUCAAGGCCAUAUAACUCAUUGAUCCAAUCAUAUUGAUCAACGGAACAAGUUACCCUAGGGAUAACAGCGCAAUCCUAUUUGAGAGUUCAUAUCGACAAUAGGGUUUACGACCUCGAUGUUGGAUCAGGACACCCAAAUGGUGCAGCAGCUAUUAAAGGUUCGUUU
Molecule: ribosomal RNA, 489 nt
Filed under: Crocidura nimbae
Lineage: Eukaryota; Metazoa; Chordata; Mammalia; Eulipotyphla; Soricidae
Description: partial 16S ribosomal RNA
Rfam family: Bacterial large subunit ribosomal RNA
Source: RNAcentral